This 336-nucleotide ribosomal RNA is filed under the name uncultured Sorosphaera. RNAcentral's name for it is "SSU rRNA". The stretch from base 124 to 336 matches the Rfam family "Eukaryotic small subunit ribosomal RNA", at positions 744 to 955 of the family's 1831-position model. The record is from RNAcentral. Lineage: Eukaryota; Endomyxa; Phytomyxea; Plasmodiophorida; Plasmodiophoridae.
GACUUGUGUGCGCCGGAUGUGGCGAUCUGCGGUCAAAAGGCCGUCGUGAUUGGCCCGUCCUGGUGCCGUAAAAUUUGCAACUGGGUCGCCGCUGGUCUUAACUGGUCGGCGGCGUCUGCUCGGUUGCUCGUUUACUGUGAGAAAAUUGGAGUGUUCAAGGCAGGCAUGAUUGCAACUGAACAUGUUAGCAUGGAAUAAUAAGAUAGGGCUUUCGCUUUAUUUUGUUGGUUUCUAGAGUGGAAGUAAUGAUUGAUAGGGACAGUUGGGGGUGCUAGUAUUCAGCGGCCAGAGGUGAAAUUCAUGGAUUCGCUGAAGACUAACUUAUGCGAAAGCAUU